AAGACCACACAAGUCUUCGCGGUUGGGUGACAGUUGACUGAUAUGCUGUGCUUAAAAUUAAAAUUGGCCAAAAAGAUCAUUUGAAAGAGAAAGCAUUUGCUGUUGCUCUCCUCAGGUUUGCAUGGUCUGAAACCAUAUAUGAUAAAUAUAUCAUGUUCGGAAGCAGACAAAUGACUUCAUCAGCAGACAUACUUGACUCACUCUACUGCUCCUGAAUUACAUCGAUGGGGGCCGGCAGAGAUUGGAGCUGCUGUUGUGAUAAUUUGGAUUCAAAUCGGAAAAAGCUUCAGCUUGGCUGUGGACCUAAGCAGCAGCCCCGAAAUCGUUAGGGAGAGACAAGCAUGUUUCCGGUGCUUAACAAUCUAUUGCUGGUCUUCGUUUUCGCCAUUGCUUCCUUUGGUGCUUCAAGCUUAAUGCUAACUGGAGGAAUCCAAAAUGAGGAUGUUGGAAGAAGAAAGCUUGUCACUGAGAAUCCUGGUUUCAUAAGCAUUGACUGCGGGGCAAAUGGAGACUACCAUGACGAGGCCACUGGCAUAGUCUACAGGACCGAUCGAGAUUUCAUCGACACUGGAGAAAAUCAUG
This is a non-coding RNA of Theobroma cacao (cacao), 582 nucleotides long. Lineage: Eukaryota; Viridiplantae; Streptophyta; Magnoliopsida; Malvales; Malvaceae. The record is from RefSeq and is a predicted model, not a curated record.